This 586-nucleotide ribosomal RNA is filed under the name uncultured bacterium. Its description in RNAcentral is "partial 16S ribosomal RNA". It matches the Rfam family "Bacterial small subunit ribosomal RNA", at positions 355 to 1375 of the family's 1533-position model. The record is from RNAcentral.
UGGGGAAUUUUGGACAAUGGGCGAAAGCCUGAUCCAGCAAUGCCGCGUGUGUGAAGAAGGCCUUCGGGUUGUAAAGCACUUUUGUCCGGAAAGAAAUCCUUGGCUCUAAUACAGUCGGGGGAUGACGGUACCGGAAGAAUAAGCACCGGCUAACUACGUGCCAGCAGCCGCGGUAAUACGUAGGGUGCAAGCGUUAAUCGGAAUUACUGGGCGUAAAGCGUGCGCAGGCGGUUUGCUAAGACCGAUGUGAAAUCCCCGGGCUCAACCUGGGAACUGCAUUGGUGACUGGCAGGCUAGAGUAUGGCAGAGGGGGGUAGAAUUCCACGUGUAGCAGUGAAAUGCGUAGAGAUGUGGAGGAAUACCGAUGGCGAAGGCAGCCCCCUGGGCCAAUACUGACGCUCAUGCACGAAAGCGUGGGGAGCAAGACAGGAUUAGAUACCCUGGUAGUCCACGCCCUAAACGAUGUCAACUAGUUGUUGGGGAUUCAUUUCCUUAGUAACGUAGCUAACGCGUGAAGUUGACCGCCUGGGGAGUACGGUCGCAAGAUUAAAACUCAAAUGAAUUGACGGGGUCAUAGCUGUUUCCU